UGGUGACUAUAGCAAGGAGGUCACACCUGUUCCCAUGCCGAACACAGAAGUUAAGCUCCUUAGCGUCGAUGGUAGUCGAACUUAAAAAUGGCUUGGCGAAGUGAAAACGUUUGAAUC
Molecule: ribosomal RNA, 117 nt
Filed under: Staphylococcus aureus
Lineage: Bacteria; Bacillati; Bacillota; Bacilli; Caryophanales; Staphylococcaceae
Source: RNAcentral